Molecule: ribosomal RNA, 575 nt
Filed under: Ceratocystiopsis sp. YCC329
Lineage: Eukaryota; Fungi; Ascomycota; Sordariomycetes; Ophiostomatales; Ophiostomataceae
Description: eukaryotic LSU rRNA
Rfam family: Eukaryotic large subunit ribosomal RNA
Source: RNAcentral
UAAGCAUAUCAAUAAGCGGAGGAAAAGAAACCAACAGGGAUUGCCUCAGUAACGGCGAGUGAAGCGGCAACAGCUCAAAUUUGAAAUCUGGCUCCCCUUGGGGGUCCGAGUUGUAAUUUGGAGAGGAUGUUUCUGGCGCGGCGCCUUCCGGAGUUCCUUGGAACAGGACGCCACAGAGGGUGAGAGCCCCGUACGGUCGGCCGCCAAACCUCCAAAAGAAACUCCUUCGACGAGUCGAGUAGUUUGGGAAUGCUGCUCAAAAUGGGAGGUAAAUUUCUUCUAAAGCUAAAUACCGGCCAGAGACCGAUAGCGCACAAGUAGAGUGAUCGAAAGAUGAAAAGCACCUUGAAAAGAGGGUUAAACAGUACGUGAAAUUGUUGAAAGGGAAGCGCCUGCGACCAGACUCGCGCCCCGCGGACCAGCCGGCGUUCUCGCCGGUGCACUCCGCGGGGUGCGGGCCAGCAUCGGUUUUCCCUGGGGGAGAAAGGCCGCGGGAACGUAGCUCCUUCGGGAGUGUUAUAGCCCGUGGCGUCAUGCCCCAGGGGGGACCGAGGACCGCGCUUCGGCAAGGAUGC